RNAcentral lists this ribosomal RNA (144 nucleotides) under Gammaproteobacteria bacterium. RNAcentral's name for it is "partial 23S ribosomal RNA". It matches the Rfam family "Bacterial large subunit ribosomal RNA", at positions 2798 to 2925 of the family's 2925-position model. The record is from RNAcentral. Lineage: Bacteria; Pseudomonadati; Pseudomonadota; Gammaproteobacteria.
CCCAAGAUUAGGUCUCCCUGACAGUUUAACUGUCCUAAAGAUCCCUCGGAGACUACGAGGUUGAUAGGCACGGUGUGGAAGAGUAGUGAUACUUGAAGCUAACGUGUACUAAUUGAUCGUGAGGCUUGACCAUAUAACACCCAA